This 253-nucleotide ribosomal RNA is filed under the name uncultured bacterium. RNAcentral describes it as "partial 16S ribosomal RNA". It matches the Rfam family "Bacterial small subunit ribosomal RNA", at positions 524 to 776 of the family's 1533-position model. The record is from RNAcentral.
UACGUAGGGUGCGAGCGUUAAUCGGAAUUACUGGGCGUAAAGCGUGCGUAGGCGGUCCGCAAAGUCUGAUGUGAAAGCCCCGGGCUCAACCUGGGAACUGCAUUGGAAACUAACGGGCUCGAGUGUGGCAGAGGGGGGUGGAAUUCCACGUGUAGCAGUGAAAUGCGUAGAGAUGUGGAGGAACACCGAUGGCGAAGGCAGCCCCCUGGGCUAACACUGACGCUCAUGCACGAAAGCGUGGGGAGCAAACAGG